Dinoponera quadriceps is the source of this 1124-nucleotide long non-coding RNA. RefSeq lists it as uncharacterized. NCBI's taxonomy places the organism in Eukaryota, Metazoa, Arthropoda, Insecta, Hymenoptera, Formicidae. The transcript is spliced from 3 exons. The record is from RefSeq and is a predicted model, not a curated record.
UAGAUGUUGGCCUUACGGCGGCCUGAAGCGCUGGUAACAGCCGGAUGGAGGCUUCAGGUGCAAAGAUUUUGCAGCGUUACACCGGGAAAGAAGAUGACGACAAUUAGUCCGCCAGCAAAUUUGAGACGAAUAUGCAGCUGAUCCUUUCUGAGCACAUUCUCCAUUUUUUGAAUUUUGUAACGCUCGAAAUUUGAACAUUGUCCUAUGUUUCGGAUCGGGCAGAAGAAUGUGCGACGUUUUUUGUGCAAAACUUUCGAUUCAACUGCAGCCGGUUCUUCUUGAGAUUUAACGCCGAUUCCGAAUGGCAGUUUGAGUGGGAUUUCCAUGGCAAAUAUAUUAUUCUCGAUGAAUUGCCAAGUCUAUCGGAGAGGAGAUACGAGCGUAUGGAAAUAUUUUGGUUUUACCGAGAGGCAAACCCAGGACCUCUAAGUAUAGCAGAUCAGUUUGCGCUGUUUGCUAUGCCAUGCUCUUGUCUAAAUAUAUUAGGUUAAGAAAUAUCAAGCAUAAUUGAAUGGUUCAGUCGAGAUAUAACUGAGAUGCUUUCCGCGCGACACCGUUAGAUGACGCCAGACAGGCCGCGAAACGCUGUGCUAAAGUUUGAAAAAGAAGCCAUAACGGAUCAUUUUAUAAGUAACAACUAGGGAUAGGCAAUGUUGACAAAAAUAAUUGGUUUUCCAAAAAUCGAUUAUAAAAUGUGUCACUUUCUCAUAAUCGAUAAAAUUUUGGAAACAUCGGUAAUAAUCAUGCGUAAGCAUUAAACUGUGUAAGGUUGUAACCUCCCUGCAAGUCCCUUAGUGCAAUGUCCGGUGCUAUAAGAGUAGAGAAGAUCUUGAGAAGCUCUUUUUUAUAUACAAUGCCCGAUCUAUGCUUUCCUAUGCGUUCAUUAGCUGAGACAAAAUAAUUAAUUCCUUACUAACUAUUGCGAAUUCUGCAAAAUGGUGCGUAACUUUUCUAUUCAGUUUCACUCGUUCCACCUGUACAUCUCGGAGAUCGAGAUUAGUUUGGGACACCUUGUAUAAAUAAAGUCGAAAUAAUUAAAACAUGAAAGAUGUUAUCUUUUCUUGUUUCACCACCUGUACAUCUCGGAGAUCGAGAUUAGUUUGGGACACCUUGUAUAAAUAAAG